This 253-nucleotide ribosomal RNA is filed under the name uncultured bacterium. Its description in RNAcentral is "partial 16S ribosomal RNA". It matches the Rfam family "Bacterial small subunit ribosomal RNA", at positions 524 to 776 of the family's 1533-position model. The record is from RNAcentral.
UACGUAGGGUGUGAGCGUUGUCCGGAAUUACUGGGCGUAAAGAGCUCGUAGGUGGUUUGUCGCGUUGUUCGUGAAAACUCACAGCUUAACUGUGGGCGUGCGGGCGAUACGGGCAGACUGGAGUACUGCAGGGGAGACUGGAAUUCCUGGUGUAGCGGUGGAAUGCGCAGAUAUCAGGAGGAACACCGGUGGCGAAGGCGGGUCUCUGGGCAGUAACUGACGCUGAGGAGCGAAAGCGUGGGUAGCAAACAGG